GCCGGGCCCGGCGGCACCGCCGCGCUCCAGCCCGCGAAACGCCGCGACGGCUGCGGAGGCUCGUCCCGGGUCCUGCCGCCGGGCGUUCCCUGGGUCGGAGCAACGGAACGGCGGCACGGGGCGUACCGGAGCCGCCGCCGCGACACCGGACAGCGCCGCGGCGCCUCUCCGCGGCUCGGCGCAGCCCCGGCGCUACCCGCAGCCGGCCAGGACCGGGACCGUCGGGGCGCCGGGAGCGCAGAACCGGGGCCGCCGCUCCCUGCCCGAGCCGAGCCGGCUGCGCGUCCCGGGGCGCACGGAGCGGGCCCCAGCCCCGGGGCCGUCAUGGGGCCGCGCGGGGCCGCUCCCGGGUCCCAGGGCUCUCCGGGGCGCAGCGGCUUCGUUCCCCCCGCACCCGCCGCUGCCAGGGCGGACCGGCCGCGGUCCCGCCGAGCCCACCGAUCACGGAGCAAACGGAUCCCGCGCCCCGGCACCCUCCCUUCCCGGGCCACGGACCCUUCCACUGUUCCCGGUGCUGGCUGACCCUGGCUACAGCAGCCCCGCCGUUCCCGACAGCACGCGUCCCGCUUCCCACGGACCCGCCGCUCGCGGUAGCACCGACCCCAGCCCUUCCCGCCCCCCCCGCCGUUCCCGGGGCACGCCCGUACCUGGCUCGGAGGAGCGGGACCGGGUGGCCGGGGCCGGGCAGCGCCGCGGAGCCGCCCGCGCGCGGGGUGCGACGGCGCCGGUCGGGGCGGGCUCGCCCGGUCCCGUUCUCCUGCCGGUGCCUCUCUGGCCGGCCCCGCGGCUCGCCCCGGGCGGUAACGGGCAGCGCAGAGAUCGCGAGCCGGGCCGCGGGGCCUCCCGGCGACUAUCGCGACAGCCGCGCCGUGGGUGGCGGGGCCGGGACGUGUGUGGCGGGGCCGGUGGUUCCGCGCCGCGGCUGCCGGGACGGGGUGCCGGGCUCCCCGGCGGGCCCCGGUUCAGGGCGAGGGCGGCGGGUCACGUCCCCGGGGCAGGGGCCGGCGGGGGAGGGCGGCCGCCCGGCCACCCUGGCGCCACCGGUCUGGGGCAAAUGACAUUACCGGGGCCUGCGCCUGUAAAUCACGGCAGCACCGGGAGCCGCAGCUGCUGCAUCCCGGGGGCACGGCCAGGCCCAGGGGCACUGGUGGACCCGGGGCUCCGCACACACCGUGGGCACCGGGCACACCCGCACUCAGCGGGACCCACUGCGGUGUGGGGAGACCGGCCCGGCCGUGGCAGCUCCUCGGGGCCUGGGGUCAUGGCACGGGUGCUGUGCUGGGUGCACGCUCACCCGGCCGUGGGAGGUAGGGGUGCACACCCCAUACAUACACCCCAGCAGGACCCAGCUGCCUGCACACACGUGUGCACACAGCCUGCAGCACAGCACAGCCACACAAUGCACACAGACACUGUGCAGCACGGGUGCACGCCCGCACACACAUGUAUGUGCUAACACAGCCCCUGUGCCAUGGCUCAGCCGCACGUGUGCACCCCAGCACUGCACAGCCGUGUGCGUGCACACACACACACCCCACAGCUCAGCACAGCCACACACACACACACACUGACCCACCUGCACGGCGUUGGAGCACACACACACACGCACACACACACGUGUGCAGAGCACGGCGUGGCGAUGCACACCCACAGCCCAUGGGGGCUCACUGGCGCUGCACCCACCCCUGCUGUGUGCACACAAACACACGCCCCGUGCAGGGCCCCCAGCCUCUGUGCCUGCACAACGCGCACCCCAUUCGCACACGUCCCAGCCAGGCCCACGCCAGGCACACGCUGUCCCACAUAACAUAGCCCUGCAGCUGUGCACAGGCAGGAGGAGCUGGCCCUGCCAUGCCCGAUCACUUUGCUGUCCCCGUGCUCCCAAGCAAGCCCUGUGCCACUGGUUUGGGUCCAUGCAUCAGCGCAGGGCAGGGGAAUGCUGCACACCGAUCUGCAGCACUGGAGCUGCCUUCCUGGUGCCCUGCCAGGCGGAGCCUCCCCCAGUGUCUUGCUCUUGGCCCAGCAGAUGCUGGGGACACUUGGCCGGUGCCACCUUUGCCAGAGCGCGGCCAACCUCCAGCCCCCCAGCUCCA
Molecule: long non-coding RNA, 2093 nt
Filed under: Anas platyrhynchos platyrhynchos (common mallard)
Lineage: Eukaryota; Metazoa; Chordata; Aves; Anseriformes; Anatidae
Description: lncRNA (ENSAPLG00000030646.1)
Source: RNAcentral